This 497-nucleotide ribosomal RNA is filed under the name uncultured bacterium. RNAcentral describes it as "partial 16S ribosomal RNA". It matches the Rfam family "Bacterial small subunit ribosomal RNA", at positions 28 to 507 of the family's 1533-position model. The record is from RNAcentral.
GAUGAACGCUGGCGGCGUGCCUAAUACAUGCAAGUCGAGCGAACGGACGAGAAGCUUGCUUCUCUGAUGUUAGCGGCGGACGGGUGAGUAACACGUGGAUAACCUACCUAUAAGACUGGGAUAACUUCGGGAAACCGUAGCUAAUACCGGAUAAUAUUUUGAACCGCAUGGUUCAAAAGUGAAAGACGGUCUUGCUGUCACUUAUAGAUGGAUCCGCGCUGCAUUAGCUAGUUGGUAAGGUAACGGCUUACCAAGGCAACGAUGCAUAGCCGACCUGAGAGGGAGAUCGGCCACACUGGAACUGAGACACGGGCCAGACUCCGACGGGAGGAAGCAGGAGGGAAUCUUACGCAAGGGGCGAAAGCCUGACGGAGCAAUGCCGAGGGAGGGAUGAAGGUCGUCUGAUCGUAAAACUCUGUUAUUAGGGAAGAACAAAUGUGUAAGGAACUAUGCACGUCGUGACGGUAAAUAAUCAGAAAGCCACGGCUAACUACGUG